This 71-nucleotide transfer RNA is filed under the name Marmota monax (woodchuck). RNAcentral describes it as "tRNA.Ala". Lineage: Eukaryota; Metazoa; Chordata; Mammalia; Rodentia; Sciuridae. The record is from RNAcentral.
GGGGCUGUAGCUCAGUGGUAAAGUGCUUGCCUUGCAUGUGUGAGGAACUGGAUUCGAUCUUCAGCACCACA